Non-coding RNA from Mycena vulgaris, 94 nucleotides. Lineage: Eukaryota; Fungi; Basidiomycota; Agaricomycetes; Agaricales; Mycenaceae. The record is from the annotation of a GenBank genome assembly.
UCGGGCGUGGUGCACGGCAUACGCUCAAUCCUUCUGCUUGUCUCCUCGUGAAGGUUGAAAGGGAGAGGUCCGGGUUCGAUUCCCGGCGGCCGAA